RNAcentral lists this ribosomal RNA (390 nucleotides) under uncultured bacterium. RNAcentral's name for it is "bacterial SSU rRNA". It matches the Rfam family "Bacterial small subunit ribosomal RNA", at positions 28 to 419 of the family's 1533-position model. The record is from RNAcentral.
GACGAACGCUGGCGGCGUGCUUAACACAUGCAAGUCGAGCGGUAAGGCCCUUUCGGGGGUACGACGAGCGGCGAACGGGUGAGUAACACGUGGGUGACCUGCCCUUAGCUCUGGGAUAAGCCUGGGAAACUGGGUCUAAUACCGGAUAUGACUCCAUGACGCAUGUUGUGGGGUGGAAAGCCUUGUGCGGCUAGGGAUGGGCCCGCGGCCUAUCAGCUUGUUGGUGGGGUGAUGGCCUACCAAGGCGACGACGGGUAGCCGGCCUGAGAGGGCGACCGGCCACACUGGGACUGAGACACGGCCCAGACUCCUACGGGAGGCAGCAGUGGGGAAUCUUGCGCAAUGGGCGAAAGCCUGACGCAGCGACGCCGCGUGGGGAUGACGGCCUGG